AAAGCUAACUCCAAACCUCUUGAAUACUAAAGUGAGAGCCAUACCGAAAGGCAAAUGUGCCUUGGAUCUAUUCAAGGUCUCUCUCAUAGCUUCAAUCAUCAAUGCCGGGAGGUUUAGGGGAGUUUGAGUAAUGACAUGAUACAUAAUGCAGAUGUCCCGACCAGAGAGGAGAUCAUGUCUACCAUUUCUAGGGAAGAAUAACUUAGUUACCAUUUGGUGUAGAAGUCUCAUCUCAACGGAAAGGAUCUUGGCCUCUAAUUUGUUUAGGCUUCCCGUGAAGGUUCUUCCUAGAAUUACAUUUAUUCCCUCCUCCUUGACUGGAAGUUCCAUGUUUGUGUAUCCCUCA
This 346-nucleotide long non-coding RNA is filed under the name Elaeis guineensis (African oil palm). Its description in RNAcentral is "long non-coding RNA (EGUI_LNC080366)". Lineage: Eukaryota; Viridiplantae; Streptophyta; Magnoliopsida; Arecales; Arecaceae. The record is from RNAcentral.